UAAAUGAUUUAUAUUUACAG
This 20-nucleotide microRNA is filed under the name Ciona intestinalis (vase tunicate). RNAcentral describes it as "cin-miR-4204-3p". Lineage: Eukaryota; Metazoa; Chordata; Ascidiacea; Phlebobranchia; Cionidae. The record is from miRBase by way of RNAcentral.